Salvia splendens (bonfire salvia) is the source of this 1095-nucleotide RNA transcript. RefSeq lists it as uncharacterized. The record is from RefSeq and is a predicted model, not a curated record. The transcript has 6 exons. Lineage: Eukaryota; Viridiplantae; Streptophyta; Magnoliopsida; Lamiales; Lamiaceae.
CAAUUACUUAAAUAAAUAAAUAAAAUAAAUAAAUAAAAUAAAUAAAUAAAAAGAGGGUAGAUUCAGAGGAUCGGAUUUUUUUUCCCAUAGCAUUAAAUGCUCCAUUAAUUGGAUGGCAAAAGAAAUCAAAUGAAAUCUAAUAGUAGAUUUGAGUGGAUUUGGACGGAGGAGAUUUAUCUUCCCAUCCAAUCAUAAUCUUGGGAGGAUAUCAUUUAAUGUAAAAAUAUAGAAGAUCACGGCCUCAAAUUCUCAAUCAAAUUGCAAGAGGCUUCUUGGCCAUUGAAUCAACCCAAGGAAACACCCAAAUAUAUGCAUUGAGAGAUUAGAAGAUCAAAAUUAAAUAUUGAUAAAGAUUUGAGCAUUUAAGAGUCCUCCCACUUGUAUAGCAAGUUGACCGAAUCCAACAAGUAUACAAAUAAUACACCCCCAACGUUUCCAAAUACAGCCACCCAUCAUAAUCAAACAUCCCAAAAAUACUACAUAGAAUAGAGGAGUACGAGGAUGAAGAGUUGCUAAUAAUUGUAGGAUCAAGUCCAGGAUCCAAUGACACUUUUGUUUCCACAUCAAAAGGCUAUCUCCAUGAGUUAAGGGUGGAGUCAGGAAAAUUCAAGUUAAAGAAACUAAACGAACAAGAGCUUCUGGGACUAUGCGAUGGCGUUAGGCCCUGAGGACGAUGAGAUCCGGAGUGUGGCUUCGACGAUGAGGCUGCAAUCUGAGGGAGAUGAUUCUCACAUGUCGGAGCUCAUGACGGCUAUCCUUCAGAGAGUAGGAGCUGAGAUUAAUCGCAACAACCUUCCACAGAUUCUGUGAUUGUGUAGGUUUUGGGAGUUCUGGCGGCAGCGUAAAUGGCGGUGGUGGCGGCGAAGGAAGAGUUGCAGCAGCAAUUCACCGCCAUUUUGUGUGAUAUUAAUUGAUUUUGGAGAAGAGGGAAGUGGAGAAGAGAAGAAGAGGAGAAGAUGCACGCGGUUUCUUUCAAAUGAAUUGAAUUUGCAAUGAUGUAACCUAAUUUUGGUUGUCAAUGACCAUUAUACCCCCGCUUAGUUAUUGUGGAGUAAAUUUGUGAGAGAGGGAACUCAUUUCUCCUUUAAAUUCUAA